CAAUACUUCGCCGGCGACCGGCGCACGGGUGAGUAACACGUGUGCAACCAACCCCGUACCGGGAGAUAACCCGCGGAAACGUGGACUAAUAUCCCAUAAUACUGGAGGAUCGCAUGAUCUUUCAUUUAAAAUUCCGGUGGUACGGGACGGGCACGCGCGACAUUAGGUAGUUGGCGGGGUAACGGCCCACCAAGCCGACGAUGUCUAGGGGUUCUGAGAGGAAGGUCCCCCACACUGGAACUGAGACACGGUCCAG
Molecule: ribosomal RNA, 256 nt
Filed under: uncultured bacterium
Lineage: Bacteria
Description: partial 16S ribosomal RNA
Rfam family: Bacterial small subunit ribosomal RNA
Source: RNAcentral